UACGUAGGGUGCGAGCGUUGCCCGGAUUUAUUGGGCGUAAAGGGCGCGUAGGCGGCUCUGCACGUCCGUUGUGAAAUCGCCCGGCUCAACUGGGCGGGGUCAGCGGAUACGGCGGAGCUUGAGCAAGCUAGGGGGCAAUGGAAUUCCCGGUGUAGUGGUGGAAUGCGUAGAUAUCAAGAGGAACACCUGAGGCGAAGGCGGGUUGCUAGGCUGACACUGACGCUGACAGCGCGAAAGCCAGGGGAGCAAACGGG
Molecule: ribosomal RNA, 254 nt
Filed under: uncultured bacterium
Lineage: Bacteria
Description: partial 16S ribosomal RNA
Rfam family: Bacterial small subunit ribosomal RNA
Source: RNAcentral